RNAcentral lists this ribosomal RNA (369 nucleotides) under uncultured bacterium. RNAcentral's name for it is "bacterial SSU rRNA". It matches the Rfam family "Bacterial small subunit ribosomal RNA", at positions 1135 to 1503 of the family's 1533-position model. The record is from RNAcentral.
CCACUCUAGCGAGACUGCCGGUAAUAAACCGGAGGAAGGUGGGGAUGACGUCAAAUCAUCAUGCCCCUUAUGACCUGGGCUACACACGUGCUACAAUGGGUGGAACAACGAGUCGCGAGUUCGCGAGGGUAAGCUAAUCUCUUAAAGCUUCUCUCAGUUCGGAUUGUAGGCUGCAACUCGCCUACAUGAAGCCGGAAUCGCUAGUAAUCGCGGAUCAGCACGCCGCGGUGAAUACGUUCCCGGGCCUUGUACACACCGCCCGUCACACCACGAGAGUUUGUAACACCCGAAGUCGGUGAGGUAACCUUUUGGAGCCAGCCGCCUAAGGUGGGAUAGAUGAUUGGGGUGAAGUCGUAACAAGGUAACCGU